GUCUACGCCGUAAACGAUGGAUACUAGCAUUCGGAGGUGUCGACCCCUUCGGUAGCGAAGCUAACGCGUUAAGUAUCCCGCCUGUGUAGUACGAGCGCAAGCUUAAAACAUAAAGGAAUUGACGGGGACCCGCACAAGCGGUGGAGCGUGUUCUUUAAUUCGAGGCUAAGCGAAGAACCUUACCAGGGCUUGAAAUCCUGCGAAGGUUUGCGAAAGCAGACUGUGCCUUUUAGGAACGCAGUGACAGGUGCUGCAUGGCCGUCGU
RNAcentral lists this ribosomal RNA (265 nucleotides) under uncultured bacterium. RNAcentral describes it as "partial 16S ribosomal RNA". It matches the Rfam family "Bacterial small subunit ribosomal RNA", at positions 793 to 1055 of the family's 1533-position model. The record is from RNAcentral.